GUGAUUGUGAACUGUUGCCUUCGGUGCUGGCUCUGGCUCCAGAGCAAGUGCACGCUGGUGACUUUCAUCCAAUACCCCUGUGCACCUUUGGCCUCUUGUUGGCUUCGGCUGACAGAGGAUUUACACAAACUCGAAUGUAAUGAAACUAUUGCUGUGCGCAAGCACGAAUGUA
Molecule: unclassified non-coding RNA, 172 nt
Filed under: uncultured Sebacinaceae
Lineage: Eukaryota; Fungi; Basidiomycota; Agaricomycetes; Sebacinales; Sebacinaceae
Description: sequence contains ITS1
Source: RNAcentral